Oncorhynchus tshawytscha (Chinook salmon) is the source of this 1358-nucleotide long non-coding RNA. The record is from Ensembl. Lineage: Eukaryota; Metazoa; Chordata; Actinopteri; Salmoniformes; Salmonidae.
UGUCGUUCUGCCCCUGAACAGGCAGUUAACCCACUGUUCCCAGGCCGUCAUUGAAAAUAAGAAUGUGUUCUUAACUGACUUGCCUGCUUAAAUAAAGGUUAAAAAAAGAUAUACUCAAAUAUUUACAAAAAUGUGAGGGAUGUACUCACUUUUGUGAUAUACUGUAUAUCUUCAAAUGUGGGGAGGGGGGGACUACUUACAAAGUAAUUUCAUUUCUAAAUGGUAAAACAGAUAUGUAUGAAUAUACCCUCAAAUAAAAGGUGACAUUUUGCACUCUCACCUCAUCUGAAACAUUUGAUCUCAAAUCCCAAAUGCUGGAGUAUAGGGACAAAUGUACAGAUUAUUUAGAUUCACUGUCCAAAUAAAUACGUAAGGAAGUGUGCGUCUUAAGACCAGACAUGUUUGUGACAUCACUGAAGGGGAGAGAGGGGACCACUGGGUAACCAGGCAUUCAGUGUGAGCAUUAUACAGCAUACAGUAUACACUCACCCAAAACAACUACUAAACAGAAGGGAACACUAACAGAGAAUUCUUUAAGAGCAUAAUAUUACUGCUAUGCCUUUGUCCCAUUAUCAUAGAGAGGAGCUUCUGAUGGAAACAGAGAGAGAGAGAGAGCCCCAGGACCUGAUGAAAGGCAUGGAUUACGGGCCAGAGUAUCUGCUCACCCAACUGCAUCCAAGACAGCUUUAGUCUCAUAAUCCACCCUGCACACAGAACAAAUCCACGGCAUCAAGCUGAAAUUUAGGCCCAAUGGGGCGGCAGGGUAGCCUAGUGGUUAGAGCAUUGGACUAGCAGCCAAAGUGGUUGAAAGUUCAAAUCCCUGAGCUGACAAGGUACAAAUCUGUCAUUCUGCCCCUGAACAGGCAGUUUACCCACUGUUCCUAGGCCAUCAUUGAAAAUAAGAAUUUGUUCUUAACUGACUUGCCUAGUUAAAUAAAAUAAAAAAUACUGUCAGAGAAAAAUCUACCAUUUUAUCACAGCACACUUUUCAUUUGGACCAUCUUCCCCUUUAAUAUCGGAUUUCUGUGUAAGUCUUCUGGAGACAACCUAGCAGCCUCUUGGGCCCUUACCCAUCUGCAUGAUAUUUUAAAGUGUGUGUGAACUAACUGACUGACCCCUCUGUCUUAUGGUUGUUUGCUCAACAGUCGGUGAUCUUUUCCUGUGUGUUCAUAACUCCGGCAGUUAUUCUGUGAAGUUAAACAUUCAAAGUGUACAAACAUCAGGCAGGCAGAAAAAAUGCAUUAUUUGUUUUCAGACCUAUGUUUGUGUCGUUAUUGCCUCUGUGAAAGAAAAGGUGUAAUGUCUCACUUGUUUUGUGUUACUGAACCAAAGCUCUCAACAAAUUUUAUUUUUGUACA